UACGAAGGGUGCAAGCGUUACUCGGAAUUACUGGGCGUAAAGCGUGCGUAGGUGGUUCGUUAAGUCUGAUGUGAAAGCCCUGGGCUCAACCUGGGAAUGGCAUUGGAUACUGGCGACCUAGAGUGCGGUAGAGGGGUGUGGAAUUCCCGGUUUAGCAGUGAAAUGCGUAGAUAUCGGGAGGAACAUCUGUGGCGAAGGCGACACCCUGGACCAGCACUGACACUGAGGCACGAAAGCGUGGGGAGCAAACAGG
This 253-nucleotide ribosomal RNA is filed under the name uncultured bacterium. Its description in RNAcentral is "partial 16S ribosomal RNA". It matches the Rfam family "Bacterial small subunit ribosomal RNA", at positions 524 to 776 of the family's 1533-position model. The record is from RNAcentral.